AUGCAGUCGAACGGUGAAGCCCAGCUUGCUGGGUGGAUCAGUGGCGAACGGGUGAGUAACACGUGAGCAAUCUGCCCCUGACUCUGGGAUAAGCGCUGGAAACGGCGUCUAAUACCGGAUAUGAGCUGCGACCGCAUGGUCAGUAGUUGGAAAGAUUUUUCGGUCAGGGAUGAGCUCGCGGCCUAUCAGCUUGUUGGUGAGGUAAUGGCUCACCAAGGCGUCGACGGGUAGCCGGCCUGAGAGGGUGACCGGCCACACUGGGACUGAGACACGGCCCAGACUCCUACGGGAGGCAGCAGUGGGGAAUAUUGCACAAUGGGCGGAAGCCUGAUGCAGCAACGCCGCGUGAGGGAUGACGGCCUUCGGGUUGUAAACCUCUUUUAGCAGGGAAGAAGCGARAGUGACGGUACCUGCAGAAAAAGCGCCGGCUAACUACGUGCCAGCAGCCGCGGUAAUACGUAGGGCGCAAGCGUUAUCCGGAAUUAUUGGGCGUAAAGAGCUCGUAGGCGGUCUGUCGCGUCUGCUGUGAAAUCCCGAGGCUCAACCUCGGGUCUGCAGUGGGUACGGGCAGACUAGAGUGCGGUAGGGGAGAUUGGAAUUCCUGGUGUAGCGGUGGAAUGCGCAGAUAUCAGGAGGAACACCGAUGGCGAAGGCAGAUCUCURGGCCGUAACUGACGCUGAGGAGCGAAAGGGUGGGGAGCAAACAGGCUUAGAUACCCUGGUAGUCCACCCCGUAAACGUUGGGAACUAGUUGUGGGGUCCAUUCCACGGAUUCCGUGACGCAGCUAACGCAUUAAGUUCCCCGCCUGGGGAGUACGGCCGCAAGGCUAAAACUCAAAGGAAUUGACGGGGACCCGCACAAGCGGCGGAGCAUGCGGAUUAAUUCGAUGCAACGCGAAGAACCUUACCAAGGCUUGACAUAUACGAGAACGGGCUAGAAAUAGUCA
This 947-nucleotide ribosomal RNA is filed under the name Microbacterium sp. AN01. RNAcentral's name for it is "bacterial SSU rRNA". It matches the Rfam family "Bacterial small subunit ribosomal RNA", at positions 55 to 1012 of the family's 1533-position model. The record is from RNAcentral. Lineage: Bacteria; Bacillati; Actinomycetota; Actinomycetes; Micrococcales; Microbacteriaceae.